ACGUGAAGCUUGCAGCUCCCACUACAUCGCUCUGACCAAGAAGGGUAAAAGAAUAGCAAAGAAACAGCACUAACAAAGUUUAGACCCAUAAAUUUUGAAGGUCUAGCUACCAUAUUAUUACCCACAAGGGUAAAGGAACAGUACCACUGCUGGAUAAUUGGAAAGUCCCUGUGUGUCAACCUCUGUGCUUCGUGGCAAGGUAGACUAGCAAACAUGCCCAACCUUUACUCCACAUUCGAGAAAACACUCCCAAUAAGAUUGCUUGCUCCAAAAAUCGAAGAGGCACCGUCCUCCGAAUCUCGAGAGCUAGACUCCCAACAUGACUACUUUCUUAAAAAAUCGAAGAGAGGGUAAAGGAACAGUACCAUUGCUGGAUAAUUGGAAAGUCCCUGUGUGUGUCAACCUUUUGUGCUUCGUGGCAAGGUAGACUAGCAAACAUGCCCC
RNAcentral lists this long non-coding RNA (444 nucleotides) under Malus domestica (apple). RNAcentral describes it as "long non-coding RNA (MDOM_LNC002465)". The record is from RNAcentral. Lineage: Eukaryota; Viridiplantae; Streptophyta; Magnoliopsida; Rosales; Rosaceae.